Long non-coding RNA from Symphalangus syndactylus (siamang), 611 nucleotides. RefSeq lists it as uncharacterized. NCBI's taxonomy places the organism in Eukaryota, Metazoa, Chordata, Mammalia, Primates, Hylobatidae. The record is from RefSeq and is a predicted model, not a curated record.
CUAUAAUCUGAGGUUUAAAGUGUUCCAACAUUAUAAAAAGGCUAUGGAAGUAAAAAGAAAUUUCUUUUUACCUUCUGGAAUUUUUACCGCAGAAAUGCAAGCAAGGAGAAGAGAAACCCACUGAGGAUUAAGGAUCUCUAUCCCAAGAGGCAAAAGCAUUCUGAAUGCUCAAUCAUAUCUACAGUUAAUGGACAAACACCGUUCAUUACCUGGUGAACAUACAAACUUCAGCAAUUUGGAAUGGGCCUCACUCUGUAGCCCAGGCUGGAGUGUAGUGGCACAAUCAUGGCUCACUGUAGCCUUGACCUCCUGGGCUCAGGAAAUCCUCCCACUUCAGCCUUUCAAAUAGCUGGGACCACAGAAAGAAAAGGAAGGCACAAGAUAGCCAACAAGACAUAGCCAGGAAAAGCCUCUCGCACCAAAUGAGGCUACAAUAUCAAGUAAACGAACACAUAUCCAACUCAUCUUUUGAAAAAAAAAUUGAGAGUUGAUAGAGAAGUGACACUGACAAUGAGGCUGAAGAGGGGGAACCUAAGAGCCCUGCAAGGGGUUGCUGUGUGCACCAGGACUCAUUCUUGGCCCUGAAUGACUCCUAAGGAAGUGGUGAGUUA